CGGAGCGCAACUUUCACGGAGCGGCCACGGGCGGAAUUGCUCGGCGGAGCGGACAACAAAUGACCGAUGGUGCCCAGGACGCGUGUAUAGAAAUCGGAUGAACAGAGGGGGUUGGUCGGUCGGCCGGUCGAUCGAAUCGACGUUCGUCAUGCGAUCGCGCGCGCGUUGCUGCGUUCAGCGUUCACGGACGUGUUGGAAACGUGACCGCGCGAGGAGGUCUCUUCGCGUUGGCGCUGCACUGGCGGGAGAGAUUUUCCUCCGAGGCGAUUUCUAACGUCGGACGUAUAAAUGCAUGUACAGACGGCGGCGACGCGAGAGAUCGUUCCCCACUUUGCAUAACGGUGCCGGCGCGACACUUUCCGCCGGUUUCCAAGCGAACACGGAAAUCUGAUUGAAGGACCCGUUGCCAUCGCGAUGGAUUUCGUGCAUGUUAUAGUCUGCAUUCAGCUAAAUUUUUGGAUACCUCGGCCAGCCGUUCUUUCCGUGUACGAAUUCGGAGUUUCGUUUAUUUUGUGACGCUGAAAUAUAAAAUUACUCGAUGUCAGAAGCAUAAGAAAGAUAAGAGGAUAUUAAAGAAACGUACGCUAACGAUAACGCACAAAAUACUACCUAGUGCUAUCAUACAAAGUAGUUUCAUUUCGCGAAGAGGUUCAAUAAGCCAGUUCGAUUACACUGGCGAUAAUAGUAAAGACGAAACGAAAAGUCCUGCAAGGAAGAUACGGGAUUAUCGUAUAGCUGGACGUCACUCGGAACGAGUCAUCACGGGGACAAUGACCAAGGAGCCGAGGAAAAGAAAAAGUAAGAGAAAAAGCAAUAUGCGUUUCAGUAAGUUCUUUGAAAUAAAAUAUUUAAUAAGAACGCGAGGACUGUCGUUAUGAAACGCGACAGGCAAAAAAUAAGACUCGGAGCAUACGCAGAUAAAAGCACAGAUGAGUACAUGUACACCGUGCAAAAGAAAAUUUGCGACACCCAUUACUUGUUACGCGCGUUAUCAACCGAAUGCUUAUAAAGAACAGGUUUUAAGGUAAGGGCGAAGGUAAAAAAAAAAAGAUUUCAGGUUUGUGCCCAAAUGGAUUACCCGAGAUUAUUCCACGGAAGGAGCAAUCAAAAAUCCGAAAGAUUUUUUUUUUUUUUUUUUUUUUUUUUUUAAGAAAAGGGAGGUAAAAAA
Long non-coding RNA from Solenopsis invicta (red fire ant), 1168 nucleotides. RefSeq lists it as uncharacterized. The transcript has 2 exons. The record is from RefSeq and is a predicted model, not a curated record. NCBI's taxonomy places the organism in Eukaryota, Metazoa, Arthropoda, Insecta, Hymenoptera, Formicidae.